AGUCCGAUAACGAGCGCAACCCUUAUCCUUAUUUGCCAGCGAUUCGGUCGGGAACUAUAAGGGAACUGCCGGGUGAUAAACCGGAGGAAGGGGGGGACGACGUCAAGUCAUCAUGGCCCUUACGAGUAGGGCUACACACGUGCUACAAUGGGCAAAUACAAACGGACGCUAAACCGCGAGGUGGUGCUAAUCCUAGAAAGUUUCUCGUAGUCCGGAUUGGAGUCUGCAACUCGACUCCAUGAAGUCGGAAUCGCUAGUAAUCGCGGAUCAGCAUGCCGCGGUGAAUACGUUCUCGGGUCUUGCACACACCGCCCGU
This 316-nucleotide ribosomal RNA is filed under the name uncultured bacterium. RNAcentral's name for it is "bacterial SSU rRNA". It matches the Rfam family "Bacterial small subunit ribosomal RNA", at positions 1083 to 1397 of the family's 1533-position model. The record is from RNAcentral.